Molecule: long non-coding RNA, 9977 nt
Filed under: Olea europaea (common olive)
Lineage: Eukaryota; Viridiplantae; Streptophyta; Magnoliopsida; Lamiales; Oleaceae
Description: long non-coding RNA (OEUR_LNC009418)
Source: RNAcentral
GAUCAUCCAAAAGCAGUAGCCCAUUGGAGCCAGAUUUGAUCGAGUGCAGCAUUGUUUGCAAAAAUGAAAAACAGGGCAAUCCAACAGCAACAAUGGACGCAUCGUUUGUUUUCUUUGCCUUCAACCAAUCAUUGAGGUCAGCAGUUGUUAUGACAUUUGCAUCCAAUAGUUCCUUGCCUCUCUGUUCGCAUAGUCUCAUUGUGCUUCCCCAUACCUGUCACAAAUUUUGCAAAAUAAGAGAGACCAUUCAUUUCUAUUUCAAGGCAAGCAGCAAAUGUGAACAAUAAAAUGUGACAUAAUUGUCAAUAGUCCCAUUGUUAGAGAAUUAGCUAUUCUCUACAUCAUGCCAAAAUCAGGGCCUAAUCCAGUCCUGGCUGUGACUGGCUUGUCAUCACAACAAUAAUUAAUUUGAGGAUAGUCAAUGGACCCUUCACAAGAUCUUAAUAUGUAUUCCAGAAUAGGAGGCCGAGGAAAUUUUCAUUUAAUUGAUUCACUAGCUUCAUGUUAAGUCAAAAAAAUAAAUAAAAAUUUACUAUCACUUAUUUAUUAAGUUUAUUAUACACUUCUGCUUCAACUUCAUUCUUCAGUUUUCUGCUUUUCUCAGUAAAUACAUUAACUUAACUUCUAUAACAACAAAGUAAGCCUCGUUUAACAAUAAAUGUGUUUGUGGUCGACUACAUGUAUCCAUUUCUGUAACUCCAUUCGGUUCAUUGCUCGAUCUACUAGAAGAUCUAAAGCUAGAAGAUUUUAACUAUUACAUGCCACGCUAGUUUCUGUAUAAAUAAUUAGAUAUUUAUGCUUGACACAUUAGUUUUUCAAAGCAAAAAAUUGAAUUUCAAUUAUACCACAAGUCCUCAUAAUUACUUUCUCUUGCAUUAAUAAAAUCCUUACUUCGAUUAAUUGACAGUAUAGUGUACUCAGAAGUUUCUUCCUGUUAGCAAUCAAUUGUAUCCUUAAGCUAUUACAUGGAAGUACAAUAUAUUGUUAAUGGCAACGUUUCUGCAUGUCUUAGAUGUCAAAUUAUCCUGAAUUUCCCUAAUUACUGAACAUGCAUACCUGCACCAUUGGCACCUCAUGUAUUGCCUCCCGAACAGAUCUUGAUGCUAUAAGGUUUGGCACGAUGAUUGAAGGAGCUUCAGUGAAGACAGCACUGUAAUUUCCAUGUAAGGAGUGAUUUUGCUGAACAGAAAACUCAGAACUGGAUUUACUUUUCUUCCUGUAUCGGGGCCUGGCCAUGAGUAACAAGAUUAGUGUCUUGAAAGGGGAAUGACUACAAAAAAGGCUAUACAACUUUGAGAAUUUUGAUAAUUUAUUUUAUUUUAUUUUUUAAAAAAAACGGGGUAAAGUUACUCAAUUACUUUUUUAAGUAUUUUUUUGGCUCAAAUAUGUUAAAUAACAAACCUUUUCUUACUUCUAAAUAAAAUAAAAAGAAUUACCCUUUUAAUAGCAACUCUUACUUUAGUGUAAAAACAAGAACUUAAAUACUUCUAACUUACAAAAAGAAAAUCGUAUACUUACUCAUUUACUUGUAAGUAAACUUUCUAAGCAUAGAAUUCUCUUCAUCCAUGAAGCAAUGAUAAAAACCCUCGAGAAAAAAAAAAUAAUGAAUGGAACUAAUUACUUUGGAAGGAUUGACCCCUCACGAAGAUAGAGCAAAUCAUUUGUGUACUCGUCAAAUUCAGCAACCAUAGCAAUGACAUAAGCAACACCUCUUCGGAAGGACCUUUCCUGAAUCACCAUGAAUGAUCGCCAGUAAAAAACCACAUGUAAUUCAUGAAAUUGUGUUUUGAAAAACUCUGUGGCUGAAAUAUACCUGGUACACUAUAACGGAUCCAUAUAAUCCUAUGAAAAAACUUGAAAAUAUAGCCAUUAUGAUGCUCCCAAUAACAACAAGCGGCCACAUAAGGAUUGCCAAACCAGCAAUUGGAACACAAGCUGUUUCUAAAAAUGGGCCUUCCCGGCUGAUCAAAUCGUGUACUAAUCUAUGCCAUCCCUUGAACAACAUGUAAGGACUCUUUACUAUUGCAAUAGCUGUGUAAAGAGGAAUUUCCACUAUCAGCCCCAUCAAACCAACAAUGAUGCACCCAGGAACAUGAAUGAGCCUGCACGAUGGUUUCAUCAAAGAUUAAGAACGAUAAUAAUCUCCUAAUUCCAUCACAUUUUCAUGACAUGUAUUCACCUGUGUAAUACUUUCCAUUCAGAAAAAUCUGAAGAAACGGAAAUUUUAAAUGCUUAUGUUAAUGUUAACCAGAGCAAUUCUCGGCCAACGAAGGAGACGAUUCAGUAAACAUUUUAUGUUAUGCUAUCCCUUCUUAAUUUUACCUGGCUGAGAAAUAUAACAUGUUGUGGCAUUGUUAUUACACCCCUGUUUGAGCCUUAUUUUUAGGAGAAUAGAUUUUGUAAAAAGUGAUUUUUUUUGGAGAACGUCUUGUUAAAAUGUUUUUAAUUUACGUGCAAAAAUAUUUUAUUGGGAGAAUGUGUCAAACAAUGAGUUUGGAAAAAAUUGAGUUUUAAAGAAUGGGCUCAAAUGGGGCUAAAUCUAAUUAACGUAAUUAUGUCGAGUGUAAAUUUCCUUCAACCUCAAAACAAAAUGAAGAGAUAAAUUUAUCAUUGAUAAGAAAAAUCUUGUUCAAUUGGAAUUAAGAUAAAUUUCCUUUAUUUGCCCAUAGGAUUGUUAUUGUUCACUGAAAAAAAACAGAUAAGAAGAAAUAUAAAAAUAAAACAAAAAAUUUACGGACUAUUAAAGCUUUCACUACAAGAAAAUUUGUUCAAUCAUAUAGAAUUUUCAGUCACCUAAACCCCCAAGUAUUGUAAGAAAAAAAUAUCAUAAACUUUACCACACCUACCAAUUUACUCUUUGUACAACCCACAAAGAAAAUAAGAAAAAUCAGGAUACUAGACUUACAAUGUUUCCUCACUAAACUUUCCAGCCAUGUGUGAAAACUAUACUCAUCAAAUUGGAAUUUUUUAUAAUCCUUUUCAUAUUCAAUUACCAGCUCCCAUUCAUUUCAAAUUAUAACACUCAGCGGACCAGCAAGCAUAGGAAUCUUCAAUUAAAAUUUUAACUUUUUUUCUUAUUUGCAUUGAAAUUGUCUUAAUUUAGAAUUUUUUGAGGUAACAAUCCCAACAAUCUCUACUUAGCCAAAAACAAGCCAAAUGCCUCGUCCGCCCCUUUAGAGGGCAGGAUUAAUUUGGCUUAAAAGCCUAAUCAGUUAAUUAAAAGGGUCCCAAAAUAAUACAAUAUAGUUUGGAGACCAAUGGAGAAAUUCCUGAAACCCCAUCAUUAAGUAAAGGACCCAUUAGGGCAUGAUGAUUGCCUUUAUAAAUUGUGCAGUAUGAACAUGAAUUCUGUGUGAGAAAACUGAAAUGACAACAGAAAAUUUACGUACGGUAGGUAGAGAUAGGAGAGGAAAAAUAGUAGGAAAGAUUAGAGCUUUGCUAGACGAUUGAAACAUUUUCAGUUUCAUUUCAGACUCCAUUUGGUAAGAUCAUUAAAUCUUCUCUUUAUUAUUUGUCCAUAGAAAGCACCUAGCAUAUGAUGAAUAUUUUGGUGAAUUCUUGAUGAUAUUGCGAUACUCUAGUAUUACCUAGAGAAGUUGCAAUCUCAUCAUUAUAGAUUAUAGUUGAAGAACUAAUCGAAGUUGUGCCCGUGGAUGUCUCCAAGUUGCCAAACCACAUUAUCUUGGCGUUCUUGAAAUUUAUAUAUUUUCCUAUUAGCAUUGUUAGAAUUGGUUGAUUACCCUAUUUUAUUUACACACAAAGUGGGAAAAGAUUUAUUCUGCCGUGUAAAUAGUUUGUUUCCGAACAAGUGAUAUCCGAAAUUCAUUAUUAUUAUUUAUUUACUUUUGUAAUAGAAUGGAAGAAAAAUCAUUUGGGAUGAUAAAAUUGAGUUCGUCAAAAUAUCAAUUGGGAAACAAAAAAUGCAUGAUAUGCUAUACUGCAAAGAUUUGUUUAAGCGUGUUAAAUGUACAGCAAAUCUAGAAAAAUUAUCUGAUGAAAUCGGAAACAUUGCACAUGAAAACCGCUACUAUGAUCAGAUAGUGGGUUGAUCAUAAUAUAUUUCAUCAUAUUGCUGAAGAAACAAGGCUGAUGCAGUUUGGAAAAAGUAAGAAUCCAUGUACGAGAAGAAUACAUCCAGAAAUAAAGCAACAAUAAUUAGAAUGCUCACAAAUUUGAAGUAAAGGACUCAGUACGGUAGAGCAUACAAGUGAGUUUAUUGCCUUAGCGAAUCAAUUAUCAACUAUGAAGAUGAACCUCGAAGAUAAGCAGCAGGCACGUUUACUGCUCAGUUCUUUGCAUGAUAGUUGGAAUACACUAGUGAUUUAAUUAAGCAACUCAGUAUCAGAUGGAAAAUUAAUCAUCGAUAUAUAUAGAGAGUUUGCUCUACGAAUAAGCCAUAAAAAAGGAAAAAGUUGAAUAUUCUUCUGAUGCCCUUGCAACUGAACAACAUGAAAAGUGGGUAAGAAGUAAAAGCAGAAAGGCUGGUGGUCAUGGGUAAAGGGAUUCUUCUAGUGGGAAGUUUAAAUCUAGAAAGAAAUUGAGGUGUUAUCAUUGCAACAAACUUGGACAUAAAAAGAGUGAGGGUAGAAUUUGGAAAAGAGAACAGAUGAAGGACAGGAAACUUGAGACAACAGAUAUGAGCUCAAGCGUUUAAGAGUUGGAGCAUUUCAAAUGGGUUGGGAGAAAAAACAAAAGAACAAAAUAAAAGUAAAAUAUGCCAAUAUUUCAUAUAUUCUUGAUUUGUUUGAAUGAUAUGCAACUUUGUGACUUUUUUCUGUCACCUAAAACUGAACAGAUUUUAGUUUUUCCCGUUGAACAGACUAGUCUGAUUUGGUUUUGACAAUUGAUCACAUCAACUUCAAAGGUACAAAAUUUUUAUUGAUAUUUUGAAAUUUUGAUUCUCAUACUAAGUUAAUAAGAUAUAAUGUCAAAAGUUAAGAAGGAACCACAAAAAUCGAAUUAGAAGCCUACCAUGAAAGAUAUAAAAAUAAGUUAUUCUUUUCAUCAAUAUAGGAAAAAAAAAUAUUAACUUGUCAAUAAAUAAAAUUUAGAAUUUUAUGAUUUGGUCUUUAGGUCGAUGUUCGUGGUAACGAAAAUGUAAUGUCAUCAGUACUCCCUCUUUAAGAAAAACUUUCUUUAAAAAAAAAAAAGGGGUAAUGAUUUUUCCGAUUAAACUGUCCAAUCUAUUUUUUAGAACAUUGUUUUCGUGACAUUAGUAUCAAUCGAAGCAUUCAUUUAUUUUAUAAUUGACUAUAAAAUAACUAAUGGAUUGACAUAUUGUGAUUUGGAAGGUAAGAUUUGAUAUUUGUCACAUGCUCAAAGAUUCGGGGCAAACUCUAAUUCCAUUCCGGUGGAACGUUCCGGGCCGUUCUUGGUUGUCAACUUGUCAUUAUGCUGGCUAAUUAAAAUAUAAAUUUCUAUUUUAGCGCUUGUUUGUUUCACAUUUUUUGUCCUAAGUAGAAGAAAUCAGAUCGUCGCUCUUUCGAAAAGUCACUACUUUAUUCAUUUCAUCUGACAAAAAAAAAAAAAAAAUAAAUGACAAUUUGAAUUUAAUCUUCAAUGGAUUGUGUCCAUAACUUAAAUUUGAGAGAAAAAAAUUUAAGGCUCCGUUUGAUUGCACGAAAUUUUCCAUGGAACUUGGAAUUCGAAUUCCAACUUCCACUUUUGACCUGUUUGAUUGACAAAAUUUUCCAGGGAAUUGAUUUUCCAUGAAUUUCUAGGUACAACAAUUUAAAGCGUGAUUUUUCACCUUUUAUUUUCUUAGGGGUAGGUGAUUUUUGGUUUUUGUUUGGUAUUUGGUCCGGUGUAUCUGGAAUUUGAUGUGUGUGCGCUGUGAAAAAAGUUGUGAAUAAUUGAUGUACCAAUAGCAUAUUUCUAGAACUGAAUUGGUAUUUGUAUAGCAUGACAGCUUUUUUCACAGCUGUCUCAUAGAAAUAAUCGUGGACCCCACCCACUUGCAUAUGUGUGUGCUGUGAAAAAAGUUGUAAAUAAUUUAUGUAUCUAAAGCAUCUUUCUAGAACCGAAUUGUUGUUAUGAUAGCAUUUUUCACAGUUGUCUCACAAAGGUGGGGUCCACAAUUAUGUUAAUCGUGGAUCCCACCCACUUGCAUGUAUGUGCUGUGAAAAAAAUUGUGAAUAAUUAAUGUACCUAUAGCAUCUUUCUAGAACCAAAUUGCUGUUGGUAUAGCAUUUGUUUGACAUCUUUUCUCACAGUUGUCUCACAAAGGUAGGGUCCACAAUUAUUUUAAUCGUGGAUCCCACCCACUUGCAUGUGUGUGCUGUGAAUAAUUAAUGUACCUAUACCAUCUUUCUAGAACGAAAUUGCUGUUGGUAUAGCAUUUGUUUGACAUCUUUUCUCAUAGCUGUCUCACAAAGGUGGGUCCCCGAUUAUUUUAAUCGUGGAACUCACUCACUUGCAUGUGUGUAUGUUGUGAAAAAAGUUGUGAAUAAUUGAUGUACUUAUAGCAUCUUUCUAGAGCCGAAUUGCUAUUGGUACAACAUUUGGUUGACAGCUUUUUUCACAGCUGUCUCACAGAGGUGGGGUCCACGAUUAUUUUAAUCAUAGACCCUACCCACUUGCAUGUGUGUGCGCUGUGAAAAAUGUUGUGAAUAAUUGAUGUACCGAUAGCAUAUUUCUAGAACUGAAUUGCUAUUUGUACAGCAUGACAGCUUUUUUCACAGCUGUCUCACAGAAAUAAUCGUGGACCCCACCCACUUGUAUAUGUGUGCUGUGAAAAAAGUUGUAAAUAAUUUAUGUAUCUAAAGCAUUUUUCUAGAACCGAAUUGUUGUUAUGAUAGCAUUUUUCACAAUUGUCUCACAAAGGUGGGGUCCACAAUUAUGUUAAUCAUGGAUCCCACCCACCUGCAUGUGUGUGCCGUGAAAAAAACUGUGAAUAAUUAACGUACCUAUAGCAUCUUUCUAGAACCAAAUUGCUGUUGGUAUAGCAUUUGUUUGACAUCUUUUCUUACAGCUGUCUCACAAAGGUGGGGUCCACAAUUAUUUUAAUCGUGGAUCCCACCCACUUGCAUGUGUGUGCUGUGGAUAAUUAAUGUACCUGUAGCAUCUUUCUAGAACCAAAUUGCUGUUGGUAUAGCAUUUGUUUGACAUCUUUUCUCUUAGUUGUCUCACAAAGGUGGGUCCCCGAUUAUUUUAAUCGUGGAACUCACUCACUUGCAUGUGUGUAUGUUGUGAAAAAAGUUGUGAAUAAUUGAUGUACUUAUAGCAUCUUUCUAGAGCCGAAUUGCUAUUUGUACAGCAUUUGGUUGACAGCUUUUUUCACAGCUGUCUCAUAGAGGUGGGGUCCACGAUUAUUUUAAUCGUAGACCCUAUCCACUUGCAUGUGUGCGCAUUGUGAAAAAAGCUAUGAAUAAUUGAUGUACCGAUAACAUCUUUCUAGAACCAAAUUGCUGUUUAUACAAUAUUUAUUUGACAACUUUUUUCACAGUUGUCUCACAGAGGUGGGGUCCAUGAUUAUUUUAAUUGUGGAUCCCACACACUUGCAUGUGUGUGUGCUGUGAAAAAAAUUGUGAAUAAUUGAUGUACCUAUAGCAUCUUUCUAGAACCGAAUUGCUAUUUGUACAACAUUUGUUUGACAGCUUUUUUCAUAACUGUUUCUAUGUGUGUGUUGUGAAAAAAAAAACUGUAAAUAAUUGAUGUAUCUAAAGCAUCUUUCUAAAAUCGAAUUGUUGUUUGUACAACAUUUAUUUGAUAGUUUUUUCACAGUUGUCUCACAAAGGUGGGGUCCACAAUUAUUUUCAUCGUGGAUUCCACCCGCUUGCAUAUGUGUGCAUUGUGAGAAAAGUUAUGAAUGAUUAAUGUACCUAUAGCAUCUUUCUAGAAGCAAAUUGCUGUUGGUACAACAUUUGUUUGACAGUUUUUUUCACAACUGUCUCACAGAUGUGAGGUCUCUAAUUAUUUUAAUCAUGCUGUGAAUAAUUGAUGUACCUGUAGCAUCUUUCUAGAAUCGAAUUGCUGUUUGUAGAGCAUUUGUUUGACAGCUUUUUUCAUGGCUAUCUCACAAGGGUGGUAAUCGUGGACCCUACCCACUUGAAUGUGUGUGUGCUAUGAAAAAAGCUAUGAAUAAUUAAUGUACCUAUAACAUCUUUCUAGAAUUGAAUUGCUAUUUGUAAAGCAUUUGUUUGAUAGCUUUUUUUACAGCUGUCUCACAAAGGAGGGGUCCACGAUUGUUUGAAUCGUAGACCCCACCUACUUGCAUUGGUUUGUGCUGUGAAUAAUUGAUGUAUCUAUAACAUCUUUCUUAACAAUAGCGCCAAGACAAGGUAAGAUGUGUUCGUGUACUUUUAUCAGAAAUUUCUCAUUAAAAAUAUCCAAAGAGAUUACACUAAGAGGGUGUUUGAGCCACAUUAUUUUGGUAAUAAUGCACUCUUGAAUAGUGUAUUGAUGGGAAAUGUGUGAUUAAAAAAUAACGAAAAGUUUUUGAUCUACGUGUAAUAUUAUUUUAUUGAAGAAUGUAUGAUUGAAAUGAUGUCAAAUCACUAUUUAAAAAUAUAUUUUUUUGAAAUAAUGUGACUCAAAUAUGCCCUUAAUAAAAAUUAGAGUAUUUUUACAUAUUUUAGUGGGGUUCGUAACUCCUAUCUAAAUGAGUUUCGAGUACAAGUACCAUUCUGUUUCAAGCAUCAUUAGAAUUUAAAUAACUUUUUUGAGAGAGUGACAAGACAUGGAUUACUUCAGCUAACUCAUUGACUCCGCGUUCAUGAAAUUUCAGAUACCGUACUUUUUAAAAGACUUCAUCGUCAUGUACAAGAUCCGCGUGCAUGUCUGAGCCUUCGAAGAUGAAAAUUUACAUAUAUUUCCUAUGAAGCAUUCAAAAGAUUCACAUACAAAAUGAACACCAAGCGUGUUUGCCCACUGUACAUUCUCUUCAUAUACAUUCAACGAAGUUUUUGACACAAAAAACAGCGUGUAACAAAAACUUUACAAGCCAAUAUGAUCUAGAGGACUACAGUAGCUAUUGUACAGCAUCAGAAAAUCGAAAAAGAAGAAAGAAUUCAACCAGAUAAAUAUCUCUCAGACGAUAUCAAUGGAACCAAUUGAUCUUGUAGACAUUGAUCUGUUGGAGCCUUCCUUAGAUGCAGAACAAGUAAUGGAUCUGUUGGAGCCUUCCUUAGUUGCAGAACAAGUAAUGGAUCUGUUAGAACCCUCCUUUGCUAAUGAACAAGAACCAUCCUUUGCAGCUGAAUAAUGUAUCAAGUUCUUAACAACCUGCCGAUAUCUCCUUCUGUAAGUUGGAAACUUAGAUACACUUCUAGACAUUCCCAACAUCCUGCUAAGCACACAACGAAUGUUAAGUAUAUGUAUGGUAGUGCUUUUAAGUGCUUAUAAACCAUGGGUCCUAUGAAAUGUAUGACUAAUAAGUGAAUAGUAACUGUGGAUUCCAUGAAAUGUAUGGAUACAGUUAUUCUCCCGAAGCCUAGGUCUACCAAAUACGUGCCCACCUGAUAUUCUUUUUUUACACGGUAGGAAUAUUAGGUCGAUAUUAAAGUAAUAUAUAUAUAUAUUUUUUUUUACCUGCGACCGAUACCAUCUAAUCGAGCAGCUCUGACAGGGUCUUCAGGAAUAAAACUACCAUUUUCCCAAGUCUUAAGGUGUUCUUUAUUGUUUCCAAAGAGAAUCAACUUCUCCAGGUACCGUAUCUCGCCCUCUUCCAAAGAAAGGACUCGGAUUUGUUCUUUGAGGACCAUCACAGGCUGGAAAAACCAGUCCAACAAUCUGCUCUGGGGCCGAUUCAAAUGGGUGAUCUCAAGAUCAUCCAAAAGCAGUAGCCCAUUGGAGCCAGAUUUGAUCGAGUGCAGCAUUGUUUGCAAAAAUGAAAAACAGGGCAAUCCAACAGCAACAAUGGAUGCAUCGUUUGUUUUCUUUGCCUUCAACCAAUCAUUGAGGUCAGCAGUUGUUAUGACAUUUGCAUCCAAUAGUUCCUUGCCUCUCUGUUCGCAUAAUCUCAUUGUGCUUCCCCAUAC